GCACGACGUAGGGGCUCGACUACUUGGCGCCGUAAGACCAGGCCUGCCGCUCGCCUUCUGUCCGCCGCUUCUUCCCCACCUGGCCUUGUGUGUCACCUGCUCCGCUUGCGGCAGCGGCGAGAUACAGCCUCAGGUCGCUCGCAGCACGCGUCGUCACGUUGAUGCGCCGCCUAUCCUCCUUGACAUCAGAAAUUGAGGUUUGGGUUUACGUUAAAUCUUGCUCCCCCCUACCUAUUUCUCUUCUCUCCAGCCGCAUCUCGCACAACCCCUGGUGACGGCACGACCCUGUCUGCUAGAACGCUGUCCGUGACGGUGGUGGAGUCAGGCGUUACCGCAGCAGCCAGGCCUUCCUGUCGCCUGUCCCACAUCCGCCGCUGGAUUUGCUCCCGUCUCGCGAAGCCACGCCGCACUUCAAGGCGGCGCCGCCAUCCCGCUGCUCAGCACUCGCCUGUGCCUGCCCACAGCCGCAUUGGCCGAGCAGCAACCUAGGAACGAAUAGGUUUGUCUUCUGUUCUUGUUUACUUUUUGCAGUGUGCUCUGGUUUCCAUUUGUGUUUUUUUGUGAAUGCUUGUGAAAGUUCUGUGUAAAUGAAAUUAACUUUGCUUCAGAAUGAAAUACGUACUUCUUCUUUUUUAUGGAUUCUUGUGGUGUGACAUUGUGUUCCAAGCUAAUUUGGUUGUAUCUGAUGCUCCUCAGUUCUGUCAGGUUUGAAGGACAGCUUCGGUAUUAGCUCAGACCAAGGAAAUUUGUGCAGCAAUGGAGGAGGCUUUCCCUUGCUGAACGUGGUUCUUCUGAUCUCAAAAUGGAUUGGGUGUGCUCCUGCGAAAGUCUGUAAAUGAGCAGUCUGACCCUAAUGGCUUUCAGGAAGAGGCGCCUGCAAAUAACGAGCAUUUUGGGUACAUGUUGAAUGUGAGACCUCACAUGCACUUCAAAGUAAAAUUUGACUGAAAUGAAAUGAUAGAUGUUUGCUGCAAAUCUACCUUUUUUGUUGUGUAAAAUCAUGUUUUUUGCGUGUUUUGUUUUUAUUAUUUCCAAAAUAGUUCCAUUGCAGCUAUGUUUUAGAGUAAUUUAAUCAUGACUUAUACAUUUGUUUAAACUCCAAUCUUUUUGUUGUAGUUGCAAUACUCUGAAAGAAGUGUCACGCACAUUACAGAAAUGGUCCACUAUCAUUUUCUGAGUUCGUGUAGCAUGAUUUGUUUCCAGCUUUUAUGUGUAAUCACCACUACAACAACGUCCUGAACUGUUGGCCUUUCGCUUUGAUGUAGCUAAUAUUCCAUAUGCCAAAAAUGAAAUUUGCAGGAGAACCAGAAAAUAGAAGAAUGGUAUCUUCUCUCACCAACCAAAAUGCCUACACAUGUUUUCCUAGCCAUGGAGAACUGGUAAUAUGUCAUAUGCAACUCUCAAGAAUGUAUGGGCUGUGAAGGCUGAUUUUUUUUACAAGACUACAAGCCUAA
RNAcentral lists this long non-coding RNA (1454 nucleotides) under Sorghum bicolor (sorghum). RNAcentral describes it as "long non-coding RNA (SBIC_LNC004976)". Lineage: Eukaryota; Viridiplantae; Streptophyta; Magnoliopsida; Poales; Poaceae. The record is from RNAcentral.